UAGGGAUUCUUCAGCAAUGGGGGCAACCCUGACCGAGCAACGCCGCGUGAGUGAAGAAGGUUUUCGGAUCGUAAAGCUCUGUUGUAAGAGAAGAACGUGUGUGAGAGUGGAAAGUUCACACAGUGACGGUAACUUCCCAGAAAGGGACGGCUAACUACGUGCCAGCAGCCGCGGUAAUACGUAGGUCCCGAGCGUUGUCCGGAUUUAUUGGGCGUAAAGCGAGCGCAGGCGGUUUAAUAAGUCUGAAGUUAAAGGCAGUGGCUUAACCAUUGUUCGCUUUGGAAACUGUUAAACUUGAGUGCAGAAGGGGAGAGUGGAAUUCCAUGUGUAGCGGUGAAAUGCAUAGAUAUAUGGUGGAACACCGGUGGCGAAAGCGGCUCUCUGGUCUGUAACUGACGCUGAGGCUCGAAAGCGUGGGGAGCAAACAGG
Molecule: ribosomal RNA, 429 nt
Filed under: bacterium
Lineage: Bacteria
Description: partial 16S ribosomal RNA
Rfam family: Bacterial small subunit ribosomal RNA
Source: RNAcentral